RNAcentral lists this ribosomal RNA (253 nucleotides) under uncultured bacterium. RNAcentral's name for it is "partial 16S ribosomal RNA". It matches the Rfam family "Bacterial small subunit ribosomal RNA", at positions 524 to 776 of the family's 1533-position model. The record is from RNAcentral.
GACGUAGGGCGCGAGCGUUGUCCGGAUUUAUUGGGCGUAAAGAGCUCGUAGGCGGCUUGUCGCGUCGACUGUGAAAACCCGCGGCUUAACUGCGGGACUGCAGUCGAUACGGGCAGGCUAGAGUUCGGUAGGGGAGACUGGAAUUCCUGGUGUAGCGGUGAAAUGCGCAGAUAUCAGGAGGAACACCGGUGGCGAAGGCGGCAUCCUGGACCGGUAUUGACGCUGAGGCGCGAAAGCCAGGGGAGCAAACGGG